Molecule: long non-coding RNA, 222 nt
Filed under: Elaeis guineensis (African oil palm)
Lineage: Eukaryota; Viridiplantae; Streptophyta; Magnoliopsida; Arecales; Arecaceae
Description: long non-coding RNA (EGUI_LNC015044)
Source: RNAcentral
CGGUCCUUUAUUUCUAAAAAAAAUGAAGAUCAUUUAGAAAAAAAAAUUUGGGUUGCCUCCCAAAUAGCGCUAUGUUUAACGUCUUUAGCCAGACGCUAAAAGAGUGUCUAUCCUAUUUCUGCCCGAAUCUUAACAUGAGUCUGUAAUUCUCUGCAUGAUUCAGGCUCUUCCUCAAGGUAUUUUCUACUUGGGACUAUUAUAUGACUCAUUCUCCUAAUAACU